This 253-nucleotide ribosomal RNA is filed under the name uncultured bacterium. RNAcentral describes it as "partial 16S ribosomal RNA". It matches the Rfam family "Bacterial small subunit ribosomal RNA", at positions 524 to 776 of the family's 1533-position model. The record is from RNAcentral.
UACGUAGGGUGCGAGCGUUGUCCGGAUUUAUUGGGCGUAAAGAGCUCGUAGGCGGUUUGUCGCGUCGGCCGUGAAAUCUCCACGCUUAACGUGGAGCGUGCGGUCGAUACGGGCAGACUUGAGUUCGGUAGGGGAGACUGGAAUUCCUGGUGUAGCGGUGAAAUGCGCAGAUAUCGGGAGGAACACCGGUGGCGAAGGCGGCGACCUGGGUAGAUACUGACGCUGAGGCGCGAAAGCGUGGGGAGCAAACAGG